CACGUAGGGUGCGAGCGUUGUCCGGAAUUAUUGGGCGUAAAGAGCUCGUAGGCGGUGUGUCGCGUCGGCCGUGAAAACCUGCAGCUUAACUGUGGGCUUGCGGUCGAUACGGGCAGGCUCGAGUUCGGUAGGGGAGACUGGAAUUCCUGGUGUAGCGGUGAAAUGCGCAGAUAUCGGGAGGAACACCGGUGGCGAAGGCGGUUCUCUGGGCCUUACCUGACGCUGAGGAGCGAAAGCGUGAGGAGCGAACAGG
Molecule: ribosomal RNA, 253 nt
Filed under: uncultured bacterium
Lineage: Bacteria
Description: partial 16S ribosomal RNA
Rfam family: Bacterial small subunit ribosomal RNA
Source: RNAcentral